This is a long non-coding RNA of Peromyscus californicus insignis, 3017 nucleotides long. RefSeq lists it as uncharacterized. The record is from RefSeq and is a predicted model, not a curated record. The transcript is spliced from 3 exons. NCBI's taxonomy places the organism in Eukaryota, Metazoa, Chordata, Mammalia, Rodentia, Cricetidae.
CCCUGAUAUUCCCUCUUCCAUCUCAUGUAUUCUGUUGGUGAAGUUUGCCUCUGUUAUUCCUGUUCAAAUUCCUAAUUUUUUCAUUUCCAGAAUUUUCUCAGUUUGCAUUUUCUCUUUUGAUUCUAUUUCCAUUUUCAGGUUUUGAAUAGUUUUGUUAAUUUCCUUCCACCAUUUGUUUGUGUUUCCAUUGAUUUCAUUAAAGGAUUCAUUAAUUUCCUUAUUUUUUCUUGGGUUUCCUUAAGGGGUUUCUUCAUUUUUCUCUUUAGGGACCUCUAUUAUCUUCAUACGGCAGUUUUAAGGUCUUUUCUCCAUUUAUGUCAAAAUAUCCAGGGACUGCUUUUGUCGGAUAGCUUGACUAUAUUAGAGACAUAUUUCCCUGACUCUUAUUGAUUGCAUUCUUAUACUGGUAUCUAGGAAUCAAACAUUGGGAUGAUUAUAAGUCCAGGUGCUGAUUUCUGGAUUUGUCUCUGUUGGGUUGGUGUUUUGUUCCUUGUUUUUUGUUUCUUCUCUCGACUUUUCAGAAGGUGUUAUGGCUGUGCAUUGCCGGGGAGGAAAUUUUCGUUGGACCUGAUAAUGAUGUCCACUGGGGGUUCCAGACCAUUUCAUUCUUGUCUGUCUUAGUGGAUUCAUCUUUAAAUGACAGGCGAUUGAAUGACUGCAGUCCCUCUACAUCUACAUCGAGAUGGCAUCAUCAGGAAAACAAGUGACAACAAAUUCUGUUAAUGAUGUGGGAGAGAAGAAAGUCUGGUGGGAGUGUAAACUGGUGCAGCCUGUGGAGAAAUCAGUGUGGAAGCUUCUCAAGAAACCUAAAGAAGGACUGCGCACUCUCCAGCUAUCCCAUUCCUAGACCUUUGUUGAAAGGACUCUACAGCUUUCUACAGAGAUGUUUACCACUGCUGUUUUUACAAUGGCAAGGAGUUAAAAUCAGCCCAGAUGUCCAUCAGUGAUGAACAGAUAAUGGAAUGUACUACAUAGACACAAUGAGAUUUUAUUGCACAAUAAAGAAAAAUGAAAUAAAAAUCUUCAAGACUGUGGAUGGGAUGGAUAAACAUAUUAAGUGAGAUAAACCAGGCUCAAAAAGACAAAUAUUGUACAUUCCCUCCUUCAUGUGCAGCUCCUACCUUCUACUUAUUAAAUAUGUGUGUUCAGAUGCUUUAAGGGAUGAGAUAGAAAACACAAUAGAACUCAUGAGAUUAUAAAAUGUGGCAAUAUUAGGGGGGAUAAAGGGUCCAGAGGGGACAAAAGAAAGCAAGAAGAUGGAGUAUGGGACAGAAUCAAAUAAAAUUUUAUAUAUAUAAUUAUAUAUAUACAUAUAUAUGUGUGUAUACAUACAUAUAAUUUAUAUAUGUGUAUAUAUGACAUUAUGAAACAUACUACCUUGUAAGCUGAUGAAAAAUAACAAAUAAAUAUUUUAUACAUGUACAAUUUUAUUUCUUUAGGUCUUGAAUUGUACUUUCCUCUGAGAUAUAAUAGCAUAUUGAUUAGAGUUUUUUAAUUUGUACCCUACUUCAAAUGUGUAAAUCUGUUUCAUUCAUGUUUUAAUCUUUCAUAAUGGAUUGGGCUUCUUAGAGGUAUUUUUAAAUAUUGUACCCUCUUUAGAGCUUUACUUGCAUCUUUCAAAAGUUAGAAAUUUCCCCAAUAAUUUUGUAUAAAAUUAUAAAAAGAUAAAUAAAAGGUACAAAAAAAGAAGAUGCAUUCACAAAAAUAUACAAAUAAUUGCUAAUAUUUUUAAAUACCCUUUCUUUUUUGCAUACAUAUUAACACACAUACACUUACAUAUUUCCUGACUUAAUAUGAAAUAAGCCAGAGACAAUGGGUCUGUGAAGUCUUUCAAGUACUUAGGGUGGGAAGGCCACUCUCACGUCUACUAAAAUUGGCAAAAAUCUUAGUAUCACUUUUUUCUACUUUGCUUUCAUUGCUGUGGUAUACUGAUUCAUCCAGAUCGUAUUCAAAUCCUCUGAAAUAGGUUCAGUGAUUUCCCACGACCUUUCAAAGCAGAAAGCAAGACAAAAUGUAUGACUCACUUUUGUUUUCUUUAGUUCCUUUGGUUUCAGUUUUGUUUUGAACUAGAAUUUAGUUGUGUAGCCCAGGCUCCCUUUUUUUUUCUCACUUUGCUUGCCUCAACUUCAUAAUUAUCUUCUCUUUUCCUUCCGAUCCUGGGAUUAUAGACACAUAGACCCCAGUUAGUUCUCAUGUAACCCACAGUUUAGCUUUUAAAUUCAUGAUAGCAAAGAUUUUAUGAGAUCAAGUCUAUUAUUUUAUUUGAAGUCACACGUUUUUGUUAUAUCAUUGUGCCACUAUUUAAAGAGUUUAUCUAGUUCAUACAUUUUCUGUAAAUUAUAUAUAAUCUCUCUAAGUCAAGCUGGACACUUUAUAUUACAUCAGCUAUAUUCUAUAAAAUGCCAUACUCCAUCUCCUAAUUGACCCAUAAUCAUUAAUGUUUACUGCUGUGGAUAUCACUCUAUAUAAAUAAAACACUGAUUGGCCAGUGGCCAGGCAGGAAGUAUAGGUGGGACAAGAAGAGAGGAAAAUUCUGGGAAGUGAGAGGCUGAGAGAGAGAGGCCUGCCAGCCACCACCAUGACAAGCAAGAUGUUAGGUACCGGUAAGCCACAAGUCAUGUGGCAACUUAUAGAUUAAUAGAAAUGGUUUAAUUUAAGAUAGAAGAAGUAGAUAACAAGAAGCCUGACAUGGCCAUACAGUUUAUAAGUAAUAUAAGCAUCUGUCUGAGUGAUUAUUUUAUAUGUGGGUUGUGGGACUGUGGGGCUUGGUGGGACCUGGAGAGAAAUUCUCUAGCUACAAAUGGCGCCCAACGGCUCGAGUUUCCACCUUAAACCUGACUAAUAUUUAAUAACCAAUUCUAAACAGAGCCAAAACCAGGAUCCUUCAUGUCUCAUAUAGGCAGCUAGACACUGCAAAAUGCAGGUUUGAACUACUGGCGGGUUCCUGGCGUGUGCAUUUAACUGACAGUAUGGCGGGAAUGAGGAGUCUGCCAGGGGCACAUUAAGCUGUGUGGUAG